This is a long non-coding RNA of Tribolium castaneum (red flour beetle), 1297 nucleotides long. RefSeq lists it as uncharacterized. The transcript has 3 exons. Lineage: Eukaryota; Metazoa; Arthropoda; Insecta; Coleoptera; Tenebrionidae. The record is from RefSeq and is a predicted model, not a curated record.
CAAUUUUGAUUGAUUUUGUAGUUUUUAGACGAUUUUUGAUCAAAUUUGAUUCAAAAAUGCACCGUAGAGGUCAUUUUCAUUUUGGGUGACUGUAGGUAUCCCCUAAUUGUGUAGAUUACAGUCCGAGUAAAUGACAAAUGUUCUGUCAUUUCGGUUCAACAGGUUUUUAAUGAUCCCACCGAAAUAAUUGUAAACUGCUUUAAAAUCCCUGUCGGGGUUAAAUAGUUGCGUAAAAAGCUUGGAAUCAGAGCAUUUGUCCCAUGAAUCAAUACGCCUGACGAAAAAAUUGAUCAAUACCAUUUCAUCGGAGUAGUUUUCAAGCCCACUCGCCAUGAAACUUUAAUUACAAUCGACAUAAUUUGGAAUAGAGUCCUAGAAAACGCUAAAGCUCGUAUUUGCGGCAUCCCGUGUUAACUACCCAAUAAAAAGCAAUCAGUGGCUUGUCACUCUUUUCUACCAGCAACUUGUUGGUUGUUUAGUUCGCGUUGUUGACGUUGUUUGGGGUGUUACACCCUUGCUAUCUUUAUACGACUGUCACGGCAAAAAUCGAAACCUUGGUCUAGUCUUACCUCUAUUUUUAUCAGGCGCGAUGAGAGAUCAUUUUAAUUUGGCAACGACCGAACGAAAAAAUCAACCAGUUUCCUGUUUCUAUAUCCCAACGAAAAACACGCUGUUUGCGGCAAAAACGCGACUAUAAAUUACUUUACUAUAUGGUCUUGACUUACAAAUUUAUUGUUAGCAAGCUACAAAGAGAAAUAGAAAAAAUUAACGAUUCUAAAGUUUUUCCGGUCGUUUAAUUGGAUUGAAUUGCUAAAACAUGGGACGGGAGAUUUUCAGCGGCUGCGUUUUAUAGCCCAGCGAAUUUCAUUUUUUCUAUUUCGAUUUUUAAGGUGCGAACUCGCAGCGUAAUGACGACAGCGAAAUUUCAACAGAAGCCUAAUAUCGAGAUAAUGCAUGUUAAAUUGUUGCGUUAACUGCUUCUGUUUCAAUGCUGAGGUGUGAUUAUUUGCAUGUAAGCAGCUGCUCCGUGGGCAAAAAUCUACAAGAUACAAUCGAGACCCAUUCAACUUUUCACUAAUUACGAAUUAAAUGCCUGGUCUAAUUGCAUCACCUGCGUUUUCACGAGAUGGGAAAAUUACGACCUCGAGGUGACGAAAACUUACAAGACCCCGAAACCGUUUUCUACACACUGGAGGAACUUUGUGAAUAAUAAAUGUUGUUGGAUAUAAAUUCUCUUGUAAACUCACGAAUAACUCAUUAUUCCAUUAUUAAUACUUACCUUAUAUUUAUUUUAGUU